RNAcentral lists this ribosomal RNA (518 nucleotides) under uncultured bacterium. RNAcentral describes it as "bacterial SSU rRNA". It matches the Rfam family "Bacterial small subunit ribosomal RNA", at positions 355 to 885 of the family's 1533-position model. The record is from RNAcentral.
UGGGGGAUAUUGCGCAAUGGGGGCAACCCUGACGCAGCAACGCCGCGUGAAGGAUGAAGGUUUUCGGAUUGUAAACUUCUUUUAUUAAGGACGAAAAAAAUGACGGUACUUAAUGAAUAAGCUCCGGCUAACUACGUGCCAGCAGCCGCGGUAAUACGUAGGGAGCAAGCGUUGUCCGGAUUUACUGGGUGUAAAGGGUGCGUAGGCGGCUUUGCAAGUCAGAUGUGAAAUCUAUGGGCUCAACCCAUAAACUGCAUUUGAAACUGUAGAGCUUGAGUGAAGUAGAGGCAGGCGGAAUUCCCCGUGUAGCGGUGAAAUGCGUAGAGAUGGGGAGGAACACCAGUGGCGAAGGCGGCCUGCUGGGCUUUAACUGACGCUGAGGCACGAAAGCGUGGGUAGCAAACAGGAUUAGAUACCCCUGGUAGUCCUGGCAGUAAACGGUGCACGCUUGGUGUGGGGGAAUCUGACCCCCUGCGUGCCGGAGCUAACGCGUUAAGCGUGCCGCCUGGGGAGUACGG